RNAcentral lists this ribosomal RNA (500 nucleotides) under uncultured bacterium. RNAcentral's name for it is "partial 16S ribosomal RNA". It matches the Rfam family "Bacterial small subunit ribosomal RNA", at positions 30 to 523 of the family's 1533-position model. The record is from RNAcentral.
AUUGAACGCUGGCGGCAUGCCUUACACAUGCAAGUCGAACGGCAGCACGGGAGCAAUCCUGGUGUCGAGUGGCGAACGGGUGAGUAAUAUAUCGGAACGUGCCCAGUCGUGGGGGAUAACGUAGCGAAAGCUACGCUAAUACCGCAUACGAUCUAUGGAUGAAAGCGGGUGAUCGCAAGACCUCGCGCGAUUGGAGCGGCCGAUAUCAGACUAGGUAGUUGGGGAGGUAAAGGCUCACCAAGCCGACGAUCUGUAGCUGGUCUGAGCAGACGACCAGCCACACUGGGACUGAGAAACGGCCCAGACUCCUACGGGAGGCAGCAGUGGGGAAUUUUGGACAAUGGGCGCAAGCCUGAUCCAGCAAUGCCGCGUGCAGGAUGAAGGCCUUCGGGUUGUAAACUGCUUUUGUACGGAACGAAACGGCGAGCUCUAAUACAGUUUGCUAACGACGGUACCGUAAGAAUAAGCACCGGCUAACUACGUGCCAGCCGCCGCGGUAA